Molecule: ribosomal RNA, 255 nt
Filed under: uncultured bacterium
Lineage: Bacteria
Description: partial 16S ribosomal RNA
Rfam family: Bacterial small subunit ribosomal RNA
Source: RNAcentral
CACGUAGGGUGCGAGCGUUGUCCGGAAUUAUUGGGCGUAAAGAGCUCGUAGGCGGUGUGUCGCGUCGGCCGUGAAAACCUGCAGCUUAACUGUGGGCUUGCGGUCGAUACGGGCAUCACUGGAGUUCGGUAGGGGAGACUGGAAUCCUGGUGUAGCGGUGAAAUGCGCAGAUAAUCAGGAGGAACACCGGUGGCGAAGGCGGGGUCUCUGGGCCGAUACUGACGCUGAGGAGCGAAAGCGUGGGGAGCGAACAGG